Molecule: ribosomal RNA, 348 nt
Filed under: Triticum aestivum (bread wheat)
Lineage: Eukaryota; Viridiplantae; Streptophyta; Magnoliopsida; Poales; Poaceae
Description: partial small subunit ribosomal RNA
Source: RNAcentral
AUGACACCGCUGCUGAAACCACCGAACACUUUAGUUCAGAAAGUGUCGGAUCUUAUAGAUCCCGAGAACUGGUCAUGGAGGCAUGAGUUGAUUCGAACUACAUUCAUUACUCCUGAUGCUGACGCCAUUCUGAACAUCCCAAUCAGAAGGGGCGGAGGUGGCGAUUCUUAUGCUUGGGCUUUUGAAAGAUCAGGCAACUGCACUGUUAAGUCGGCGUACCGUGCUCUAGUGACUCAGAACGAGUGUGUUGCUCUAGAGGAAGGGGCGGUUACCGGUUCUUCAACAGAUGACAAACAGAUGUGGUCUGCCCUGUGGAAACUCAAAGUGAUCCCAAAGGUACGAGUGUUU